This is a long non-coding RNA of Megalobrama amblycephala (Wuchang bream), 867 nucleotides long. RefSeq lists it as uncharacterized. The transcript has 3 exons. The record is from RefSeq and is a predicted model, not a curated record. Lineage: Eukaryota; Metazoa; Chordata; Actinopteri; Cypriniformes; Xenocyprididae.
UAACGUGACUACAGUGGUUCAACCUUAAUGUUAUGAAGUGACGAGAAUACGUAUGCAGAAACAAAACAAAAAUAAUGACUUUAUUCAUCCUUUUUUUCUCUUCCCUGUCAGUCUCUUACGCAGUUGAUGCAGUGCAGGCUUCCGCGUCUACGUCAGAAUGGCAACUCUGUAUUGGCCGGUUCCAGCAUCAACAUCACACGCAUGCGCCAUGGUGCUCACAUGAACAGCAUUGACCAAUACUGAGCUGGCAUUUGGUCGUAAACACAGAAGCUCUGCACAUGAAUGAACAUCAGAUGGUGGCUCAAAUGUUCCCCUGCUCACUGCUGAUCAAAGGCCGUCUUUAACAUGACAUAUGGAUCAGCAGACACUAAUGAGAGGGCAGUGGCCAGCUGAAUCUCCACGGUAACAAAAGAGGCUGGGACAUCUGGAGUCAGCCACACACAGACUCCUGCCUUACUAGGAAUGAACUCCUACUAAGGAACAGCACACCAAACAACUUCUUGCCAACUUUUGAGAAUUCAGACAUUUUAAUGGACAUUCUAGUUGGUGAAGCUGCGAUCCUGUACAAGCACUUCAAGAGACGAGGGAAGCAUGCUGGUGCGCUCGUGAAAUUCCGACAGUGCAGAUUCAGGACGCCACUGCUGAGCAUUCACCUGGCGAAUCUCCACUCCCUAGCAAAUGAAGCAGAUGAACUAUUACUCCUCACCCAGAAAAAAUGGGUGAGGCUGUCAAACGGGUUUCCAGCUGUUCAGAGCGGAUCACGUCACCGAGUUAUCUGGGAAAAUGAGAGGUGGUGGAUUAUGUUUUUAUAUCAAUUGAAGGUUGGUGUACAGAUGUGACAGUGUUAAUAAAUAUGUGCUGCCCUAA